AAACAAUAAAGGUUUAUUUCUUACUGACAGCAAAUCCAAUGUGGGUCGGUUGACUCCUCGGUAGCUUUUCUUUAAGCAGUGACUUCCGCAUCCUUCCUCCACUUGCAGCCAUCUACACAAGAAAAACGGUAACCACGGAAGUUAUAGGAACCAUUUUAAGGAAGUCAUGGAGGAAGCAUACGUCAUUUCCAACCACAUUCCAUUGGCCUAACUGCAAGGGAAACUGAGAAAAGUAGGUACCUCGUGUUGCCUAGAAGAAACCCAGCAUCACUGAGCAUGGAGCCAUUUCUGCCCUAUCAACGGUGAUUCCUCAUGACGCAGCAAAAAUGGCUGAGCUGUAACUGUGAAUGACAUAAGUUACCAUAAAAUCUUCUCCCUAAAGUUCUGGAGGGAUUUGGUUUUAUUGUGAUCCCUAAUGCCAGGCAGUGUGUGGCUCUCGUGGAUCUUUCAUAUACAAUUAUUUCUUAGAGGGGAAGUUGCACUGAAAUCUGCACUAUGCAAGGAAGAGAAUCUGAAGUCCUAGAGCAUUUGCAGGAGAAAUGACAUCUUAACAGUAUUGAAUCUUCUGAUCCGUGAACGUUCAUCUCCUUUAGAAACAAUGGCACAGCAGGAAACAGCCCACUCAAAAGCGAUGAUUCAAGAGAAUUGAAUAAAGAGACUGUUCACAAAAGGUAGACAGAGUUCAGAGAAAUUACAAAGAAUGUCUCCUUUUGGUUCUUCCAUUGAUCAUUCCAACCAAAAGCUGAAAGACAAGGGAGCCUGGUUUAUAGGAUCCGUGGAGGUCAACCUCCUGGAACCCAGAGCACGAUGAAGCUGGAGAGGGAAGCCAGAGAGGCAGAUGGAGAAUAUUCAGCACAGACAGCACGACACGAAUUUCCAUGCAUCAAGUUCCAAUCCUUAUUAUUGAAAUCACCAGCUUUGAAAGAACAGAAUGAGCUCACUUCCAUGGAUACAUCUCUUAAAAGAUAUUUUGUUUCUUCUAGUAUUAACAACAUUUCUUUUUCCUGUCUUUGUUCUCAAGGUCCUGCUAAGCCAGGAUGAUUGACACAGGGAUCUGAAAUGUAAUCUUAAGUGACAUUUACUCUUCCUUUAAAGCUGCUUAGCUCCAAUCUGUGGGGAUAUUAGUUCACUCUGGAUUUACUACCGAAAGAAAUGCCAGACAGUGAUAUCCAAACUCCCACAAAUAGUUGGAUAACUAUAUCCAGGUGUUUUUCAGGACAUGAUUUCAGGAAACCAUGAUUAAUUAUGUCAGUGGGCAUUUGGCCAUCACUAUAGCUUGAUGUAUAUUCCAAAGGGAGGAGAAUUCUCAGGCAGCUGCCAACACACACCUGGCACACACUGGUCUGUUAUCUGUCCCGGCAAUUCCUUCAGGAUCAUCCAGUCAGUGACUGGUCUAGUAUUAUACCUUAUUUAUUCUGACUACUAACAAGUACAUUCCUUUCUGGGAACCACUGGGCAAUUGUGCAAUUAGAAGAGGUCUAUUUGUAGCUGCUGUAUGUCAAGUUUUUCCAGGGAUGGAUGUUAAUCAACCCUGGCUUUUCUCUACAAUGGAAGGAUAUUAAUUGACCACCGGGAGUCAACUACAGCUAUAUCUUGGGGUAGUUCCUUUUCAAUUAUUUUACUACUCCCGUUGGCUUUAGCAAUUUUUGAAAAAUAAAUAUUUGGGAUUUAGAAAAUAGUUUCUUUACAGCUUUGAUCAUCAUUUGUUGGGAUGGAAGCUUGUCUCUAAGUUUCAAGCUACCAUAAAUACAGAGCCUGGGAAAUCUUUUCGAAGAGUGAGCAAUUUUCUGUCCUUAAUAAUAAUUAUUCUUGUUUAAAGAGCACCUACCACCUACCAGAAACUGUGCUAAGCUUUUAGGUACUUUAUAUUAUUAAUUCUCACUGCAGAUGCAUGAAAUAAAUAGCAUUAUCAUCCUUCAUCAGAGGCGAUUCUGAGAUUUAGCAAGGUGAUGUAACUUAAUGUUCAAGAUCAUGCACCCAGAAAGUGGCAGAGCCCUAUGGGAUUAGAAUGCAGGUUAGUCUGAUUCCAACGCCCAUAUUCCUACCCACCCUGAUAUUUGUCCACCUAACAAAACCUCUGACAGAGCGCCA
Equus asinus (donkey) is the source of this 2091-nucleotide long non-coding RNA. Lineage: Eukaryota; Metazoa; Chordata; Mammalia; Perissodactyla; Equidae. The record is from Ensembl.